Molecule: long non-coding RNA, 233 nt
Filed under: Elaeis guineensis (African oil palm)
Lineage: Eukaryota; Viridiplantae; Streptophyta; Magnoliopsida; Arecales; Arecaceae
Description: long non-coding RNA (EGUI_LNC035037)
Source: RNAcentral
CAGUUAUAUGCAUGAUUGGCUCAACUCAAGUUCAUAUGUGAAUUCCUAUAGAAACUCCUUUUCAGUAUUUACACUUGCUUUGAUCAAAAACUUUCUGAACUUAAUCUCGCAAAUCACAUAAGACUACUUUUUUCUACUAAAAUCGAUAGAUUCUAUCUAGAUACAUUCUAAUUCUAAUAGUGAACCUAAACUUAGUGUAGCCAAUAUACACCAUAAAGAUCUGAAUGGCUAGG